Molecule: long non-coding RNA, 283 nt
Organism: Arvicola amphibius (Eurasian water vole)
Lineage: Eukaryota; Metazoa; Chordata; Mammalia; Rodentia; Cricetidae
Exons: 3
Source: RefSeq, a predicted model, not a curated record
UCAGAUCAUCAGGCUGUAUGGUUAAUCUGAUGGAGGCAGUUCCUCGCUUGAGGCUCCUUCUUCCCAGAGUUCAGAUCAGAGUACCAAAUGCUUCAAAACUGAAUUUAUUGGAUGGUUCUACGGCACCAUGAGAGUUCUGAAUUUAGAUUCCUGCCCCCACUGCAAGAACAAGUGCUUUGAACCACUGAGUGAGCAUCUCUCCAACCCAAAAUGCAUGACUUUUUUAUCUAUUCAAAAUUUAUUGAGUUUUAUUUUCUACAAGUACAGAUGUUAUCUUGUUUUA